Long non-coding RNA from Cyprinus carpio carpio, 995 nucleotides. Lineage: Eukaryota; Metazoa; Chordata; Actinopteri; Cypriniformes; Cyprinidae. The record is from Ensembl.
GACUUAGCAAUAAAUAAUGCGUAUGAAUCUGGAACAGUAGAUUGAUUUAUGUACAGAUUUGUGCAAUUUUACUCUACAGCAAUAGAACUGUAUAAAUAAAAAGAUAUGCAUAUGUAUUUACAUAAUACUUGAGAAAGGCAAUCAUUUAAGAUUUAGAAUGAUUUACGGAAAUGAAUUACAGAACACAGGUAAUGAUUCAUAUGUUAGCUGUUUAAGCUGGAGAUGGCACAGGGGAAAAAACUGUUUUCAUGCCUAGAUGUUCAAGUGCGCAGAGAUCUGUAGCGUCUGUCUGAGGGGAGAAGUGCAAACAGGUUGUGUCCGGGGUGAGAGGGGUCUUUGAUGAUGUUACCUGCCCGUUUCUUCAGUCUGGAGUCAAGUCCUGAAGACUGGGCAGGUGCACACCAAUGAUCCUUUUUGCUGCCCUAACAGUCCAUUGCAGUCUUCUUAAAUCUGAUUUGCUGGCUGACCCAAACCAGACAGUUAUAGAAGAGCACAGAACCGACUCAAUAAUAGCUGAGUAAAACUGUGUCAUCUGUGCCUUUGGCAGGUUGAACUUUUUCAACUGACGAAGGAAGUACAACCUCUGCUGGGCCUUUUUCACAAUGGAGUCAAUGUGAAUGUCCCACUUCAGGUCCUGAGAGAUGGUUGUGCCCAGGAACCUGAAGGACUGCACUGCAGCCACAGUGCUGUUCAUGAUGGGGCGGCGGGAACAUCUGUACUGCCCGACGAACUGGGAACAGUGUCGAGAUUCUGGAUGAACUGGUGUGGACUGAUUGGUUAUGACAUUUGACAUCUAAUGCAAGAAGAAGAGUUAUUUCCUUUUUUGUCCAAACCCACACUUUUCUUAAAAGCUAUGGGGACAGAUUAGCCAAUGUUUCUCUCUCUCUGAAGAAAACUUUAAAUAACCUUUUUUUUUUCAAAAAAUGUGCCAUUCAAUAAAGUUUGAAUAAUUAACUUCCCAUUUCCCAGACCUUUUCAACAUCCUGCCUUCAAAC